GCCAGGGUGCCGCAGACGCGGGGACGCUGGCUCGCUCCCUCCCUCCCUCCGACGCUAUCAAAUGAUGCUGUUUGGAAAAAUUUCCCAGCAGUUGUGUGGCGUAAAGAAACUCCCAUGGUCAUGUGACUCCAGAUACUUCUGGGGCUGGUUGAAUGCAGUGUUUAAUAAGGUGGAUUAUGAUCGCAUCAGGGAUGUUGGCCCUGACAGGGCGGCAUCCGAGUGGUUGCUGCGCUGCGGGGCCAUGGUGCGCUACCAUGGCCAGGAGAGGUGGCAGAAGGACUACAACCACCUUCCAACAGGCCCUCUGGACAAAUACAAGAUUCAGGCGAUCGACGCCACCGACUCUUGUAUCAUGAGCAUUGGAUUUGAUCACAUGGAAACCUCAAAUAUUUGUUGUUAAGUGAUCUUCCUGGAGUAAGAGAAAAAGAAAAUCUUGUCCAAGCCUUUAAGACAGCACUGCCUUCUCUGGAACUAAAAUUACAAUUGAAGUAAAAUAA
Molecule: small RNA, 497 nt
Filed under: Pan troglodytes (chimpanzee)
Lineage: Eukaryota; Metazoa; Chordata; Mammalia; Primates; Hominidae
Description: processed transcript
Source: RNAcentral